RNAcentral lists this ribosomal RNA (548 nucleotides) under uncultured Glomeromycotina. Its description in RNAcentral is "SSU rRNA". It matches the Rfam family "Eukaryotic small subunit ribosomal RNA", at positions 548 to 1097 of the family's 1831-position model. Lineage: Eukaryota; Fungi; Glomeromycota. The record is from RNAcentral.
UUGGAGGGCAAGUCUGGUGCCAGCAGCCGCGGUAAUUCCAGCUCCAAUAGCGUAUACUAAAGUUGUUGCAGUUAAAAAGCUCGUAGUUGAAUUUCGGGGUUAGUAGGUUGGUCGUGCCACAGGUAUGUACUGGUCUCACUGAUUCCUCCUUCCUGAUGAACCGUAAUGCCAUUAAUUUGGUGUUGCGGGGAAUCUGGACUGUUACUUUGAAAAAAUUAGAGUGUUUAAAGCAGGCUAACGCUUGAAUACAUUAGCAUGGAAUAAUGAAAUAGGACGAUCGAUCCUAUUUUGUUGGUUUCUAGGAUUGACGUAAUGAUUAAUAGGGAUAGUUGGGGGCAUUAGUAUUCAAUUGUCAGAGGUGAAAUUCUUGGAUUUAUUGAAGACUAACUACUGCGAAAGCAUUUGCCAAGGAUGUUUUCAUUAAUCAAGAACGAAAGUUAGGGGAUCGAAGACGAUCAGAUACCGUCGUAGUCUUAACCAUAAACUAUGCCGACUAGGGAUCGGAUGAUGUUAAUUUUUUAAUGACUCAUUCGGCGCCUUACGGGAAA